Molecule: long non-coding RNA, 1275 nt
Organism: Prosopis cineraria
Lineage: Eukaryota; Viridiplantae; Streptophyta; Magnoliopsida; Fabales; Fabaceae
Exons: 3
Source: RefSeq, a predicted model, not a curated record
AUCGGCCUCAGGUUCAAUUCCUGAGAUUUGAUUUUCUUUCCUUCUAAGAAGAUCCAUUCCCAGUAUUUGGAAAGAUGAGUGUAGAAUCUAUUUUCCAUAUGGUACCAGAGCCUUAGCUCGUGACCCGACCCACUUUGAAUCUAUUUGAUCCAUUUUUUUAUCUAAAUCUUUCAUCUUUUUCGGCUAACCCUAAUCCCCCUUUCAAGUUUGCUCAUCACCUUCAUGCUUGUGUACGAAACAAAGUCCACACACAAACCUUUAUUGCUGUCUUUCUGCAAUCUUUCUAUGAAAGAUGAUGUUGUCCGAACAACAAGGCAUCAAAGAUGCCUCCAAUCACAACGUCGCCGCUCCUCUAGAACUGAAUCAUCCCUUGUAUCUUCAUCCUUCAGAGACGCAGAUGACUACACUAGUAACCCAACCUCUAAUCAGAGCCAUGAACAAUGCAAUAUGAAGUCGAGCCAUGAAGAUGGCUCUCUAAGCAAGAAACAAGAUCUGUAUUGUUGAUCGUUCCUAUAGACGAGAUGCCCAAGAUCCCACUCUCCCACUCUAUGUGCAUAGUGGGAUUGCUGCAAUGUUGUCAUACUCUCAUGGUUGCUUAACUCUAUAUCUAAGGAAAUUUCAGCUAGCAUCACCUUUUCAGAAAAUGUGAAUCUCAUUUGGGAAGAUCUCCAAGAACACUUUAGUGUCACUGAUGGCUCCAUGAUUUACAGCCUACAUCAUUUAAUCAACUCUCUCACACAAGAAUUGAUGUCAGUAUCAAGCUAUUUUACGCAAUUGAAGGAGUUAUGAGAGGAGUAUUCUGUAGUUGUACGCCUCUACCUAAUUUCCCGAUUUUGCACAGAGAGAGAGAGAGAGAGAAAAAUCUAUGGUGCCAUCACCGACUUCCCUUUCUCAUUCAUUCCUCGUUCUCGCCGGCGUUAGUGGUGGUCGUUGCCACCUUGCCAGCAGGUUCUUCAUCGUUUCUGUCUCUGGUGGGCUUCGUCGCUCCUCAUGCUGGCUUGCCAUUCGUGUUUGGGUUUGAGUAGUGGGUGGAAUGAGAGCUGAAUCACUGAUCUAAGAUUUGUUAGCUGACGCUGAUCCCACCAUUGACCUUUGAAGAGCAAAGUAACUACGGUGGGUGGAAAAUUUUUGAUUGAUACUGUUGCUUUUAACGUAAAUAUAUAAUUGGUAUGUCUUUUUGAUUAAAAAGAAUAGAUGCUCCACAUAGAUUGUUGAUAGACUUUAUUUUGGGUUAUAUAUUGGCUACUGGCUGGAAGGAGCUACGCUCCUGAUUUA